Long non-coding RNA from Beta vulgaris subsp. vulgaris (sugar beet), 3142 nucleotides. RefSeq lists it as uncharacterized. The record is from RefSeq and is a predicted model, not a curated record. The transcript has 3 exons. Lineage: Eukaryota; Viridiplantae; Streptophyta; Magnoliopsida; Caryophyllales; Amaranthaceae.
UAUAUAUUAAUGGGAAACUUUUCGUAUUAAGGCACUAUAUUUGGUAGAAAAAAUAAUUGUAAGAUUCUAAUAUAAUCUACAACUAGGGAUGGCAAUCCAGUCCGAAUCUCCCUAGUCCGCUCUGAUCCGAAGGAAAAAAUCCGAGUCGACUCCGACAAAAAAGUAAUACCCAAACUCUCACAUGAAUAUACCAUAAUACCCUUACUUAUAUUUUCUGAUUUUUUACCCUCCUCUCUCACUCAUUCACUCUCUCUAUCUUCUUUUUCCUUAAACCACCACCACCACCCUUCACCUCCCUGCCACCACCACCACCCUUCAUUAAACUGUUUUCUCUUUCGAACCAGCCUUAGCUUGGGGUUUUGCGAAUUUGAAUAUGGUGGUAACAAGAAGUGCUGUGAGAAAACAAGUUACAAGCAAGGAAACAAGUGGGCAACGUGAUGAGAUUUCAGGUUGAUUUUGCUGCGUAAUGUGGUUUAUAAGCUUGUGUCUAAGGUUCUUGCCAACCGCCUGGAAGUUUUUCUUGACAAGAUAAUGUUGAUUCACCAAAGCGCACUCACUCCUGGAUGAUUGAUUACAGAUAAUAUUUUUAUUGCUUUUGAGUUGUUUCAUCACAUGAAACAUCUUAGGAGUUCAGAGGAUGGUAUGACUUUAAAGCUUGAUAUGUCGAAGGCAUAUGAUAGGAUUGAAUGUGAUUUCCUUGAUGUUGCUUUGGUUCGAUUUGGUUUUGACACAGGUUGGAGGCAACAAGUGAUGGAUUGUGUUCGUUCAUUUACUUUCUCUGUGUUGGUGAAUGGCAGACCUUCAGAGGAUUUUGCACCUAAAUAAAGUGAUUAGGCUGGGAGACCCUUUCUUUCAGCAUAUUUUUAUCCUUUGUGCAGGUGUCUUCUCUCAUUUGUUGGGCAGUGCAGAGGAGAGUAAUUCAUUGAGAGGCAUCAAGCUGGCACCUCCGGUCCUUUCCAUUAAUCAUUUAUUGUUCGUUGAUGAUUGUAUUAUAUUUUCUAGAGCUUCUUUGCAAGAUUUAGAUGCCGUCUCGCAUGCCUUAAGCUUAUAUGAGCACUCAUCGGGACAGAAGGUGAAUUUCGAUAAAACUACUAUUUUCUUUAGCUGAGGUGUGUCGCCUGUCGGGGCAAAGGAGGGGGGCUAUUGCAGAUUCUCUUGGUGUUUGAGUUGUGGAUAUACAUGCUAGGCACUUAGGGUUGCCUACGUUGGUUGGUCGGUUGAAGAAGGUGAUUACGAAUGUUGUGAAGGAGAAACCAUGGAAGAAGUUGCAGGGAUGGAAGGGGAUGGUUCUUUCUAAAGUUGGUCAGGAGGUUACGAUAAAGGCAGUGACCCAAUCUCUCCCUACCUACGCAAUGAGUGUUUUUAAGUUUUCAUCCUCUUUCUGUGAUGAGAUGAGAUCCCUUAUUCGCAAUUUUGGUGGGGUCAAAAGCAGAAAUAAAGGAAGAUUCAUUGGGUUGCGUGAAAGAAGUUAUGCAAACCUAAAAGUGAAGGGGGCUUGUUUUCGUGAUAUGAAGCUGUUUAACUAGGCUUUACUUGGUAAACAGGCUUGGAAACUUACUACGAGACAAGGGAGCUUAGUUGAGCAGAUUUAUAAGGCGCGAUAUUAUCCGAAAACUUCUUUCAUUCAAGCAAAGUUGGGGCGGCACCUAGCUACACUUGGAGAGGGAUAUAGGAGGCUCGAUGGGUCUCAAUAGAGGGAUUCGAUGGAGGGUUGGUAAUGGUGAAAAUAUUAUGAUAUGGUCUGAUCCUUGGAUAAUUCCGGGAACUCAAACUAGGAAGACUCUUUCUCCUAGAGGGGAGGCGAAUGCGUAUGUUGAAGUGGGGGCAUUAAUUCAUCCUAUUAGAAAAUCAUGGAAUGUGGAGUUAUAAAAUUCCCUCUUCUUACCUUUUGAAGUGGACCGAGUCUUAAAAAUUCACAUUAGUCAUCAUUUGCCGGAAGAUCUUUUGUGUUGGGACUUGGAGAAGAAUGGGGUGUAUUAUUCUUUUCGCUCGGCGUAUAGGGCGUUGAUUGGGAUAUGCGGAGUGGUUGGAGGAGGCUACUUUGCGUGUAACUGAUUUGUGGAAAGUCAUUUGGAGUGCUGUCGUUUUACCGUGUGUGAAUUAAGCUCUUUGCUUGUCGAUCUUACCUUGAUGUGUUGCCUACUAAUGUGGGUCUUAAUGAACGUGUCCCUGUGAUUUAUGUUGUGUGUGGAGUGUGUGAUGAAGUGGAAGAAUCAUCCCUCCACGUUCUUACUUUAUGUAAACUGGCGAAAGGCGUUUGUGCCUGCAGUGCUGUCCAUCAAGCUUCGAUGCAAGGGUGUUGUUCGGUGACUGGUUGAUUUGUGCAAUGUUCCAACGAGUUGGAUGAGAGUGAGGUAAGCCUAUUUCUCACAACUUGUUGGGAUGUAUGGGGGUGAGGUGUAAAGCCUCGCUUGAAGGGGAUUUGUCGCCAUCACAAGAAAUUGUGGCGCAUGCGGUGGAGACGAGUGUGGAUAGGCGUGAAGCGAUGGAGCAGGCGAAGAAUGCAGGUCUGUGGGUGAUCUAGUUGUCGCAGCUGAUCAGGUUUGGUGGCUGGUACCAAGUGAGGGGCGAGAGAAGAUUAAUGUUGAUGCGAGACAGGUGGCAAAAGGAAUGUCGGGGUUGGGAGCGGUGUGUCGUGAUGGGUCAGGAGGGGUGUUGAGUUGUGCUGAUGUCCAAGUCAGAGCUAAGUGGGAGGCGCAUACGGCUGAAGCUUGUGCGGUCAUGGAUGGUGUCUUGAAGGCUAGAUCGUUGGGCCUCCAACGAAUUAUAAUCGAGGGCGAUUGCCUUCGGCCUUCGCUUUGUGUAAGCUUCGAGAAAAGUAGAGAAGGGAUCGAGUGCUUUCCAUUUGGUUUUGGAUGAUAUGGUAUCUCUUAUUCCUUCGUCCCUUAGUGUUGUGUGGUCUUCUGUUAAAAGGGCGGGAAAUAGAGUAGCUCACGGGUUAGCUCAUUUUCAACCAUUGAAGGUUGGUAAGCGUUAUUGGGAAGAUGAGAUCCUGAACUCUAUUGUUAAGCUUGCUUUAGAUGAUUUAAUACAAUUGUUCCCUUUUGGGGUUCUCUUAAAAAAAAUCAUAUUAAGGGUGCGUUCUAUUCACCUGAAAAAAUUUGCUUAUCUAAACUGAACUCACUAGACCUAAUUGACGCUU